Molecule: ribosomal RNA, 253 nt
Filed under: uncultured bacterium
Lineage: Bacteria
Description: partial 16S ribosomal RNA
Rfam family: Bacterial small subunit ribosomal RNA
Source: RNAcentral
UACGUAGGGGGCGAGCGUUGUCCGGAUUUAUUGGGCGUAAAGAGCGUGUAGGCGGCCAGGUAGGUCUGCUGUGAAAACUCGAGGCUCAACCUCGAGACGUCGGCGGAAACCAUCUGGCUAGAGUCCGGAAGAGGAGAGUGGGAUUCCUGAUGUAGCGGUGAAAUGCGCAGAUAUCAGGAAGAACACCCGUGGCGAAGGCGGCUCUCUGGGACGGUACUGACGCUGAGACGCGAAAGCGUGGGGAGCGAACAGG